This 452-nucleotide ribosomal RNA is filed under the name uncultured bacterium. RNAcentral describes it as "bacterial SSU rRNA". It matches the Rfam family "Bacterial small subunit ribosomal RNA", at positions 335 to 799 of the family's 1533-position model. The record is from RNAcentral.
ACUCCUACGGGAGGCAGCAGUGGGGAAUAUUGCACAAUGGGCGCAAGCCUGAUGCAGCAACGCCGUGUGAGUGAAGAAGGUUUUCGGAUCGUAAAACUACUGUCCUAAGGGAAGAAACAAAUGACGGUACCUUAGGAGGAAGCCCCGGCUAACUACGUGCCAGCAGCCGCGGUAAUACGUAGGGGCGAAGCGUUAUCCGGAAUCACUGGGCGUAAAGGGUGCGUAGGCGGCUUGACAAGCCAGGGGUGAAAGGCAUUGGCUCAACCAAUGUAAGCCUUUGGAACUGUUAAGCUUGAGUGCAGGAGAGGUAAGUGGAAUUCCUAGUGUAGAGGUGAAAUUCGUAGAUAUUAGGAGGAACACCAGUGGCGAAGGCGACUUACUGGACUGUAACUGACGCUGAUGCACGAAAAGCGUGGGUAGCGAACAGGAUUAGAUACCCUGGUAGGAUAGCG